GGCAGCAGGGGGGGAAUUGUUCGCAAUGGGCGCAAGCCUGACGACGCAACGCCGCGUGGAGGAUGAAGAUCUUCGGGUCGUAAACUCCUGUCGAGUGGGAAGAAUAGUUUCGGGGCUAACAUCCCCGGAGCCUGACGGUACCACUAAAGGAAGCCCCGGCUAACUCCGUGCCAGCAGUCGCGGUAAUACGGGGGGGGCAAGCGUUGUUCGGAAUUACUGGGCGUAAAGGGCUCGUAGGCGGCCAACUAAGUCGGAUGUGAAAUCCCCAGGCUCAACCUGGGAACUGCAUCCGAUACUGGAUGGCUUGAAUUCGGGAGAGGGAUGCAGAAUUCCAGGUGUAGCGGUGAAAUGCGUAGAUAUCUGGAGGAAUACCGGUGGCGAAGGCGGCAUCCUGGACCGACAUUGACGCUGAGGAGCGAAAGCUAGGGGAGCAAACGGGAUUAGAUACCCCGGUAGUCCUAGCCCUAAACGAUGAAUGCUUGGUGUAACGGGUAUCGAUCCCUGUUGUGCCGAAGCUAACGCGUUAAGCAUUCCGCCUGGGGAGUACGGUCACAAGGCUGAAACUCAAAGGAAU
This 574-nucleotide ribosomal RNA is filed under the name uncultured bacterium. Its description in RNAcentral is "bacterial SSU rRNA". It matches the Rfam family "Bacterial small subunit ribosomal RNA", at positions 347 to 910 of the family's 1533-position model. The record is from RNAcentral.